RNAcentral lists this ribosomal RNA (769 nucleotides) under Niphargus puteanus. RNAcentral's name for it is "partial 28S ribosomal RNA". The record is from RNAcentral. Lineage: Eukaryota; Metazoa; Arthropoda; Malacostraca; Amphipoda; Niphargidae.
GCUCAGAGUAUAAGCCAAUGGAGCUUGGAAGGCUUCCGCAGAUGGUGUCCAUCAUACGUGGUGUUCUUAAGACCUUGAGUGUGGCUCGUCAGGCGAAGCAUUGAGUUUGCCGGGUAGCUGUCGUGCGGGGGGUUCGGCUUGGAGGUCUCAGGCUUCGGCCGAAAGGCUUCCGGUUGUCCCCUUUUGAAUGGGCGUUCAGAGCUCUUGUGUCUAAUGCGGUUAUGCCCACCACAGCACGUUGUGAGGUCACCCACAGGCUCAAACUGCCGAUCGCGCAUCCAGGACGAUGGCAACGAUGCGUUGUUGAUGAUGGCUCGAGAGAGACUUCACUCACACGCGUGUCUAGUCCUGGGUCGGGCGGCGACCGAGAUAAACCUGGUAUGAUCCUCUUGCGACGAGCUGCUUUCUGGCCAGACCGACGCCCAGGCACCUCCACUGUGCCGGAAGUGCCAAUCCCAGGCGGUGUGAACCCAGCUGCAUUAUGCAAGGUCUCUCAGCCGGGCGUUGGUCUGAGUGGUGUUAAGUCCAGCACCAUCGGUCACGUCUCGAAACACGGGCCAAGGAGUAUAGCAUGUGUGCAAGUCUAAGGGUCUCACAAAACCCGAAGGCGAAGUGAAAGCAAGACUGUGGCGGGGGAGCUACGGCAAACCCGCCGGCCUAGUGGCGCGUGCGUCGCCUGGCUUUUAGCAGAGCUGAUCCUGUUUUCUCGGUUAAUUCUUGGUGCAGGCGCAAGCUCCGGGCUCACGUACAACUCUGGUCACGCCUCGCG